UUGAACCACCUGAUUCACGGCCAAUCCACCACUGUGGGUAUGUGCCACAGCCACUCAGAACGACAUCAUGGAGCCAUGUGUUGAGGCCACAGCAAUAACCACUACACGUGUCGCUGCAUUCCAAAGUCAAGGCGAAUGAAGUACUGGGAGUUGCCUCCCCGUCCUCGUAUUCAGGGUCGCUGGCACUUUUUCUACGCGACAAUGUGCCAGGAAAACACCGGCGUUUCUUCCAACGUUGGAGGGAGCCAUUUCGCAAGGAGUACGAGCGCCGACAACCCUUGAAUACGACAUGGCACUUGAUGACGACAGCGGGAUGACAUCGGCUGACGAUCCGGAUUUUGGCGCAUGUGCGGUUCUUGCCAACAACCAAUUGAGUGAUUACCGGCUGGACGGUAUCAGUCUGCUUCAUAAAGCAGCUCUCUUCAGUGCACCGACGGGGCGUGAAACCGGCAUGGCGGCAACAGUGCACUUCACGAUGUUUCUACUGCUUA
Molecule: long non-coding RNA, 491 nt
Organism: Dermacentor albipictus
Lineage: Eukaryota; Metazoa; Arthropoda; Arachnida; Ixodida; Ixodidae
Source: RefSeq, a predicted model, not a curated record